RNAcentral lists this ribosomal RNA (450 nucleotides) under uncultured bacterium. RNAcentral's name for it is "partial 16S ribosomal RNA". It matches the Rfam family "Bacterial small subunit ribosomal RNA", at positions 354 to 796 of the family's 1533-position model. The record is from RNAcentral.
GUGGGGAAUAUUGGGCAAUGGACGAAAGUCUGACGGAGCGACGCCGCGUGAGUGAAGAAGGCCUUCGGGUCGUAAAGCUCUGUCAUCAGGGACGAACGGCCGGUGGAGUGGAAAGCCACCGGAUUGACGGUACCUGAGAAGGAAGCCACGGCUAACUACGUGCCAGCAGCCGCGGUAAUACGUAGGUGGCAAGCGUUGUCCGGAAUUAUUGGGCGUAAAGCGCGCGCAGGUGGGAUCUUAAGUCCAUUUUUAAAGUUCGGAGCUCAACUCCGUGAUGGGAUGGAAACUGGGAUUCUUGAGUACCGGAGAGGAAAGCGGAAUUCCCCGUGUAGCGGUGAAAUGCGUAGAUAUGGGGAGGAACACCAGUGGCGAAGGCGGCUUUCUGGACGGUGUCUGACACUGAGGCGCGAAAGCCAGGGGAGCGAACGGGAUUAGAAACCCGUGUAGUCC